RNAcentral lists this ribosomal RNA (369 nucleotides) under Triticum aestivum (bread wheat). RNAcentral's name for it is "partial small subunit ribosomal RNA". The record is from RNAcentral. Lineage: Eukaryota; Viridiplantae; Streptophyta; Magnoliopsida; Poales; Poaceae.
GCCGCGGUCCUGCCAGUCACAAUGAGUGUACUAAGCUGGAACUGCCAGGGGCUUGGGAACCCCGAGGCAGUUCGGGAGCUUCGCAGUAUCGUGAAGCUGGAAGGCCCCUCCCUUCUCUUUGUAAUGGAAACUAAAAUCAAUGCCAAAAGAGUUGAGGAUCUAAAGUUUACGCUGGGUUUUGCAGGCAGUUUUGCAGUGGACAGUGUUGGCCUUAGUGGCGGCAUAGGUCUUUUCUGGUCCAGAGAUGUGACCGUGGAUUUGAAGAAUUUCAGUAAGAAUCAUAUUGAUGUACUGGUACAUAGAAAUAAUCAAAACGCUUAUGUUUGGCGUUUCACGGGUUUUUACGGAGCACCGCGAGCGGAAGAGCGA